RNAcentral lists this ribosomal RNA (301 nucleotides) under uncultured bacterium. RNAcentral's name for it is "partial 16S ribosomal RNA". It matches the Rfam family "Bacterial small subunit ribosomal RNA", at positions 509 to 807 of the family's 1533-position model. The record is from RNAcentral.
CAGCCGCCGCGGUAAUACCGAGGGUGCGAGCGUUAAUCGGAUUUACUGGGCGUAAAGCGUGCGUAGGCGGCUUCUUAAGUCGGAUGUGAAAUCCCUGAGCUUAACUUAGGAAUUGCAUUCGAUACUGGGAAGCUAGAGUAUGGGAGAGGAUGGUAGAAUUCCAGGUGUAGCGGUGAAAUGCGUAGAGAUCUGGAGGAAUACCGAUGGCGAAGGCAGCCAUCUGGCAUAAUACUGACGCUGAGGUACGAAAGCAUGGGGAGCAAACAGGAUUAGAUACCCGCGUAGUCCCUGUCUCUUAUAC